AGUGGACGCUGGCGGUAGGCCUAACACAUGCAAGUCGAACGGCAGCACAGUAAGGGCUUGCUCUUACGGGUGGCGAGUGGCGGACGGGUGAGGAAUACAUCGGAAUCUACUUUUUCGUGGGGGAUAACGUAGGGAAACUUACGCUAAUACCGCAUACGACCUACGGGUGAAAGCAUGGGAUCUUCGGACCUUGCGCGAUUGAAUGAGCCGAUGUCGGAUUAGCUAGUUGGCGGGGUAAAGGCCCACCAAGGCGACGAUCCGUAGCUGGUCUGAGAGGAUGAUCAGCCACACUGGAACUGAGACACGGUCCAGACUCCUACGGGAGGCAGCAGUGGGGAAUAUUGGACAAUGGGCGCAAGCCUGAUCCAGCCAUACCGCGUGGGUGAAGAAGGCCUUCGGGUUGUAAAGCCCUUUUGUUGGGAAAGAAAAGCAGCAGGUUAAUACCCCGCUGUUCUGACGGUACCCAAAGAAUAAGCACCGGCUAACUUCGUG
This 492-nucleotide ribosomal RNA is filed under the name uncultured bacterium. RNAcentral's name for it is "partial 16S ribosomal RNA". It matches the Rfam family "Bacterial small subunit ribosomal RNA", at positions 29 to 507 of the family's 1533-position model. The record is from RNAcentral.